Non-coding RNA from Epinephelus lanceolatus (giant grouper), 681 nucleotides. Lineage: Eukaryota; Metazoa; Chordata; Actinopteri; Perciformes; Serranidae. The record is from RefSeq and is a predicted model, not a curated record.
CGAAGUAUUUGUAAACAACACGGCGAUUCCCUGGGGCCACCGCCGGAAAUGAAGGGUGUGAUCGAUCGCUGAGGCCCCUGCACUUCGGUUAGUCGAAAAACUCCGGGCUGUGCCUCCACAGAUUCUGAACUGAUCUGCCUCCUGAAUUGAUCAAAACCCAAACUAAUACAGAUUUCAAUGAAAUACUGAAGGCAUGUCUGCAGCGUCCAGCAUCAAAAUGUCAAGGUCUGCAGAGAUGAAGCCAGGCCCCGCACCACUCAGACCUCCUGACUGACAUCUGAUCCUCAAGAAUGACUUUGAGCUUGAUGAGAGUGGAAGGUUAAGCACUGUGUUCAGAGGCAUUGAGUGCAGAAGUCUGACAUGUCAUGGUUUCAAGGAAGGUGAAUGGCUUUACUGGCCAUGUGGAUCAAUGAUGUGACUCUGCAUUAGAGCUGCAAACUUCAGGGAAUUCACCAACAUGACCAGACUUCGAUGCAGGUUUAUCCAGAGAGUUGGAGAACUAGUUCCAUCUGCUGAAGGAAACAAUGAUCAUAUUUGUGCAUCUGCAGUAAACUUCUGUAACAGGGAAGAGAGAAGAAAGAUUUAUGUUGAUGGUAAAAUCAUUCAAAUUAUAUUGUGCAAGGGUUUGACGAGAAACACUGUUGAAAUAAACAUCGUUCUGAGCAUGUGUGGUUGUAACUU